RNAcentral lists this ribosomal RNA (327 nucleotides) under uncultured Oceanospirillum sp. Its description in RNAcentral is "bacterial SSU rRNA". It matches the Rfam family "Bacterial small subunit ribosomal RNA", at positions 1066 to 1401 of the family's 1533-position model. Lineage: Bacteria; Pseudomonadati; Pseudomonadota; Gammaproteobacteria; Oceanospirillales; Oceanospirillaceae. The record is from RNAcentral.
CGUGAGUUGGGUUAGUCCGUACGAGCGCACCCUUGUCCUUAGUUGCCAUCAUUUAGUUGGGGACUCUAAGGAGACUGCCGGUGACAAACCGGAGGAAGGCGGGGACGACAUCAAGUCAUCAUGGCCCUUACGAGUAGGGCUACACACGUGCUACAAUGGCAAGUACAGAGGGCCGCGAAGCCGCGAGGUGGAGCUAAUCUCACAAAGCUUGUCGUAGUCCGGAUUGGAGUCUGCAACUCGACUCCAUGAAGUCGGAAUCGCUAGUAAUCGCGAAUCAGAAUGUUGCGGUGAAUACGUUCCCGGGCCUUGUACACACCGCCCGUAUAA